Molecule: ribosomal RNA, 465 nt
Filed under: uncultured bacterium
Lineage: Bacteria
Description: partial 16S ribosomal RNA
Rfam family: Bacterial small subunit ribosomal RNA
Source: RNAcentral
CCUACGGGAGGCAGCAGUAGGGAAUCUUCCACAAUGGGCGAAAGCCUGAUGGAGCAACGCCGCGUGGGUGAAGAAGGUCUUCGGAUCGUAAAACCCUGUUGUUAGAGAAGAAAGUGCGUGAGAGUAACCGUUCACGUUUCGACGGUAUCUAACCAGAAAGCCACGGCUAACUACGUGCCAGCAGCCGCGGUAAUACGUAGGUGGCAAGCGUUAUCCGGUUUUAUUGGGCGUAAAGGGAGCGCAGGCGGUCUUUUAAGUCUGAUGUGAAAGCCUUCGGCUUAACCGGAGUAGUGCAUUGGAAACUGGGAGACUGGAGUGCAGAAGAGGAGAGUGGAACGCCAUGUGUAGCGGUGAAAUGCGUAGAUAGAUGGAAGAACACCAGUGGCGAAGGCGGCUCGCUGGACUGUAACUGACGCUGAGGUUCGAAAGCGUGGGUAGCAAACAGGAUUAGAUACCCCAGUAGUC